GAUCAGCCACACUGGGACUGAGACACGGCCCAGACUCCUACGGGAGGCAGCAGUCGGGGAAUAUUGCACAAUGGGCGCAAGGCCUUGAUGCAGCCAUGCCGCGUGUGUGAAGAAGGCCUUCGGGUUGUAAAGCACUUUCAGUCAGGAGGAAAGCGUGGUAGGUUAAUACCCAUCAUGUGGUGACGUUACUGACAGAAGAAGCACCGGCUAACUCCGUGCCAGCAGCCGCGGUAA
RNAcentral lists this ribosomal RNA (234 nucleotides) under uncultured bacterium. Its description in RNAcentral is "partial 16S ribosomal RNA". It matches the Rfam family "Bacterial small subunit ribosomal RNA", at positions 302 to 523 of the family's 1533-position model. The record is from RNAcentral.